RNAcentral lists this long non-coding RNA (1195 nucleotides) under Sorghum bicolor (sorghum). RNAcentral describes it as "long non-coding RNA (SBIC_LNC006723)". Lineage: Eukaryota; Viridiplantae; Streptophyta; Magnoliopsida; Poales; Poaceae. The record is from RNAcentral.
CUCUGCCUAAUUUGCAAAUUUGAAGUUCUCUCUCAAGUUUAGACAUAACUGUUAUAAUUUAAAGCUUGCUCUAGAUCUAAACUUGUGGGAUGAAAACUUGAUGUGAAAUCUAAGUUGUUAACGGAUAUGAUAUGGGAAGGUUUAGCUGCUGUUUAUCUGUUCCUAGAGAUGCUAGAAUUCUAGAGAAUUUUAUCUUUAAAAAAUCUUUAAAAUAUUGCAUGAUGAGUUUCUGUAUGAUGAGAGUUUAAAUUCCUACCACAACCAUAUAUAUACAUGCUUACUAGACUUUGAGCCACACAUUUAUUAUUUACUGCUUAUGAGCAUUGAGUGUGGUCAAGCUAUGUAGACCCUUAGGAGCUUGUCAUGUGGUUAACUCAAGAUUCACUUGCACGUUCACUCAUAUAUGCUACUUCUACUCCGGAAGUACCAUCCACAUAUAUCCAUCCAUAUCCAUCUCCAGAACCACCCAAAAAUAUUCUACUCCUAAUUCGGGAGAGAAUAGCCAAAAAUAUUUCUAUUUUCCCUUGUGAAAUAAAUGCUCAAGUUAUCUUGCUACUACCACUUGCUAUAUUAUCUCAAGAGAUGAGUGCUCUGAAAUAAAAAAGAAAAAAAAUAAUAAACGAGGAAAUAAAAAGGGGCAAGUGCUCGGAACCUCGAAAGAAAAAAAAAGGGUGAGACGAGAGGUAAAAAUGGACAAGUGUCCGACGGUAGAAUUAGGGGUACAAGAUAUCCACCUGAGAGGAAAGAAAAAGAAGAGCAUCUCAUUCUCCUCAUAAAGUUUCAAAAAGCAAGGAAGGUAUGUAUCCCCUCAAAAGAGCAAAAGUAGAAUUAGACUUUCACCAUUGUUAUCACCAUCAUCACCAUACACCAUUCAUUCGCUACACAUGCACAUCUUGAUUUGGCUUAUUGAUUUGUUUCUUUGGACCCAUGGUUUGACUACACAAUAAAUGUCUUGUAAGUAUGUAUAAUUUAUCUCCCACCUAUGAGGUCCAGAUAUUAAAGCCUUAUUAGAGUAGGGUGAGAGAGAAGGCAAUGUCACUAUGCCUUAUACCACAAAUACCACAUAUCUUGAGAGAAGGCAUAUCAUCACUGCCUUGGUAAGGAUCCAGAAAUACCACAAAAGAGAGAUUUAGAGAGUCAUACAAGGAAUCUCUGAGUUUUAUUUGAAAAUCUGCAAAAACUCCAGAGCUAUAGC